AACUCCUGGGCAGAUGCACAGCUUGUUACAGGCUGGGCUGGGUUUCAAGUCCAGAUCUCCACGACACCAAAGCCCUGUCUGUUUCCCCCGCCAAGCUGGGGAAAGUCAGCAGAGGCCAGAUCACCAAGAGCCUUAUAAACUGGCUAAGGAAAGUGAGCCGGCCCCUCGGAGCAGUGGGGAACCUCGAAAGACUUCUAUGUAGAGGGAAGGUGUUUGGAUGUUUGAAAGAUUAUUCUGGAAGCUGUAUGGAAGAUAAAUGUAAAGGGGCUUGUGGAAAUAGAUGAGUAAUUGACGGCUAUUAAGCACCCAGAAUUUUCAGGCCAUGGGUGCUCUAGGGAAACAUGAAUUCAUGAAAUUCAAGGUUUUACUAUCUAGUCUAGGAGAAAAACUUACAUGCAUGAAAUAAUAUGCCAGACACAGGAUCUGAAAGUACUGCAAGUUCAGACUUACCUUGAGUACAUGAAGUGUCUGAGGAGCAUACCUGCUGGUAAAUGAUCUUGUCUGAAAGCAGGAGGGAAAGAAGGUGGAACUCUGUAAUUCUGAAGACCUGAUGCCUUAAGAUCCACUCACUGAGUGACUUAAAUCCAGUUGAAUCUUCAUACACCCAUACUGUCGGUUGUCUGCUUAUGGGCUAUUUCGUGCUGUUUUUCAGCCUUUCCACUGUUCAUUUCACUAACCUCUGUUUGAAAUUCUUCCCCAAAGGCUGCCUGUUCCAUAUCUAGGGAUAAUGGCAUGUGCAGUAUGUAUCUGCUGUGUGCGCUCAGUCGUGUCUGACACUUUGCAAUCCCAUGGACUGUAGCCCGCCAGGUUCCUCUGUCCAUGGGGUUUUCCAGGCAGGACUACUGGAGUGGGGUGCCAUUUCCUGCUCCAGGGGACCUUCCCGACCCAGGGAUGGAACCCACAUCUCUUGAGUCUCAGGUUGCGUCGGCAGGCGGAUUCUUUACCACUAGCGCCACCUGGGAAGCCCAGGUUGUUUGGAUAACCGUCAAAGAACAGUCAUUUCCGGAGCUCCCACUUCAUUCUGGGCAAAAGGCAAAAUUGCUCUGGAGAAAUUCCAUGAGCAAGGUAAUGUCAUUCUCUCCUUACAAAGGAGGAAAGAGCAACACAGAGCAGUUAGUGAACUUGCUCGGGGCACAGAGCUGGUGAGAGUCAGGAUGCGGACCAAGGCCUCCCCGACCGCAGAGUCUCUGCAUCUUACCCUUGGCAGCACUGCCUCCCUUGCACCCCAAGUUCCAAAACUUCUUACUUGCUCAGUGUGCUUCUCUUGCUACUAACGCUUGAGAGGAAACUAAAGGGCUCGUCAUGUUGUCGGACCGAUGAGAAAAGACAGACUAGGGAAAUAGGAGGAUCGUCCCAAGAUCAAGGGCUGCUCUUCCCCCGCCUCCUGGCCUCUGGUCCUUCGCAGGUCUCCAGGCCUCAUCCCAAUCGUGGCUGUGUGUUGCAGGAGCCUGGAACUCCCUUAAAAGUCCCAAUGCCUGGCUUUGAAAAAUAUGGAUGCCUGCGCUGACAUUCUGCUUCACUUGGUAUACAAUGGCUUGGAAUUUCCGAAGCUCUUUAGGUUGCCAGCCGCAGGAAUAAAGAACCGAGGGAGGAUUUUGGAAUCUUUCUGGGGGUGGCCAGAGUACUGCACCAUCAAAAAGUGAAAAAACGAAAAGGAAGAAAUUGUCCUCUGGAGAAAAAAUGAAAGCAUUGAAGACCCUGGGAAGACGAAUCUAUUCACAGAGAAGACGUUGGCAAAAGAAAAUAGACCCCUCGGAAGGAAAACGGCUUGGUUACUGUUUCAGCUAAGAAGUGAGAUGAGAUAUGAAGCGAUGUUUCAUUUCACGUUACCUGAAACGUCUCAGAUAAAGUCUUCCCUAGCCCCUGGAACUGAAUAAGGAGACACAGACAAGCCUUUAUGACUAGCAGCAGAGAAUAAGAGCUCCGUCUCACCGCAUUUCAGCGACCUUGCUGUGUGAGUUGUUUCUUCCAGUUCUUUGGAGUGAUUUAGCUGAACAGGUGCAAGUGGUCUGAAAGAUAGAGGAAGAGCAAGCCACCAGAGACAAGGCAGUGAGGACUCUGUCCACAUCAUAUUUCCGUGUUUGUUCUAUUUGUCAAAGACCACCCUCCACAGUUUAAACCAGAGACACUGAACAAGACGAAAGAAAAAGAAGAUAGGAUAAAAUAGAAAUACAGCUUAAGUAUAUCCCCAGGUACUAAACAAGAGAGUAAAUAGUUAAUAAUACUGUGUUAUAUAUUGGAUUGGCCAAAACAUUUGUUCAGUUUUUCUGUAAGAUGGCUCUCAUAUUGCCUAGUCAUCUUUAACUUCAUUCGAAACAACUUUGUUAGAUUGUUUUGUGACAGCUGUCAUAUAGGCAUGCAUUAAAAAAAAAUUCAAAAUUGGUGAAUUUUGUGUAGCCACUUCAAUUUUCAAGAUGGAAGAGUAAAAGCAACAUUUGGGGUAUAGUAUGCUCUAUUAUUUCAAGAAAAGUAAAAACGAAACUGAAACACCAAAAAAAAAAAAAAGAUUUCUCCAGUGUAUGGCGAAGGUGCUGUGACUGAUCGAACAUAUCAAAACUAGUUUGCAAAGUUUUCUGCUGGAGAUUUCUCCCUGGACCAUGCUUCCUGGUCGGGUAGACAAGUUGAAGUUGAUAGUGAUCAAAUCAAGACAGUAAUUGAGAACAAUCAACAUUACGCCACUUGGGAGAUAGCCAACAUACUCAAAAUGUCCAAAUCAAGUAUCGAGAAUCAUUUCCACCAAGUUGGUACGUUAAUCGCUUUGAUGUUCGGAUUCCACAUAAGUUAAGUGAAUAAAACCUUGAUUGUAUUUCCACAUGCAAUUCUUUACUUAAACAUGAGGGAAACCUUCCAUUUUUAAAACAAAUUGUGACGGUCGAUGAAAAAUGGAGACUGUGCAAGAAAGUGGGAUGGAAGAGAUCAUGGAGCAAAUGAAAUGAACCACCACUAACCAGAGGCCGGUCUUCAUCCAAAGAAGGUGACGUUGUGUAUAUGGUGGGAUUGGAAGGGAGUCCUCUAUUAUGAGCUCCUUCCAGAAAAACAAAUGAUUAAUUCCCAAAAAUACUGCUCCCAAUUAGACGACUGAAAGCAGCAUUCGACGAAAGCGUCCGGAAGGAGCCGACAGAAAACGCAUCACCUCCUGUCAGGACGACACAGGCUGCAGGUUUCUCUGACGACGGUGCAACUCGGCUGCGAAGCUCUGGUGCAUCCGCCUCGUUCACCAGACGCUACACCUUCAGAUGUCCUUUCCUUUCGGUCUCUACGACGUUCUCUCAAUGGAAACCGUUUCAACGCCCUGGAAGACAGUAAGAGGCACCUGGAGCAGUUCUUUGCUCAAAAACAUAAAAUGUUUUGGGAAGGCGGAAGUAUGAAGUUGCCUGAGCAAUGGCAGAAUGUCAUGGAGCCAAACAGUGAAUGCAUGGUCCAAUAAAAUUCUCAGUGGAAAUAAAAAAUGUGUCUUUUAUUUUUACUUAAAAACUUGAAGGAACUUUUUGGCCAAUCCAAUAUUUGACGCUGCUAACAGAGUAGACCUUAAAUGUUCUCACACAAAAAAGAAGUGAUAAUUACGUGAUGGGAGGCAGGUGGAAGCCUGUACUGUUUAAUAUGAUAUAAUCAUUUUGCAACAUAAGAAUGUAUCAAAUCAACACUCAGUGUACCUUAAACAUACACAGUGGUGUAUGUCAAUUAUAUCUCAGUAAAGCUAGAAAAAAUUUUAAAAAGAGAGUAACAGGAAAACAUGUAGGGUGUUACUUGAAUGUUUUUGUAAGAUAGUAGAAUGACUUCAACAGGAGCAUCGAUUUCACUAAAGUUUUAUACGAAAAUAUCUGCAGUCAAAAGUAGUGUUCAACUCUGCAUGAAAGCAAGUUACUUGAUGGAGGACAGUGCCGGCUCACUCCUGGCCCCUCCAGGGAACCCCCCAGGAUAACCCCCAUCCCCCUUCGCCCCCGCCAGCCAAGCUCCACUCCCUCUGUGCCCCCCUCUUCAGGGUUCUCCCCUUUUAGGCUCAGCUUCACACCCAAGCUCAGCUUGUAGAUGCUUCCCCUUCUGGGGAGUGUAUUUUCCCACAUUUAUGCUCCUCCAAAUCUUACCCCUACUCAUGAACUCAUGAGUUUUGAGUAUUCGCUGUGUGUCAAGCCUGGGUUAACUCCACAGGGAUGAAACAGUAGUCCCUGCUCUUGGGUUGCUCACAGCCCUUUGGAGAUUUCAACAUGGAAAUAACCACUCCGUGGAACCAAGGAAGUACGGCUGAUUUUUGUCUGUUGGUUCUCCUUUUAAUAAUAAGUAUAAUACGUGUGCAUAAAAGUAUACAGUGUGCAUGC
This is a long non-coding RNA of Bos taurus (domestic cattle), 4316 nucleotides long. Lineage: Eukaryota; Metazoa; Chordata; Mammalia; Artiodactyla; Bovidae. The record is from Ensembl.